UCACUUCAGCAGCAAAUAUACUAAAAUUGAAACAAUACAGAGAAGAUUAGUAUGGCCCUUGCAUAAAGAUGGUGUGCAAAUUUGUGAAGUGUUCCAUAUUUUU
Molecule: small nuclear RNA, 103 nt
Organism: Loxodonta africana (African savanna elephant)
Lineage: Eukaryota; Metazoa; Chordata; Mammalia; Proboscidea; Elephantidae
Source: Ensembl